UUAAAAAAUACCUAUUAUUUCAUAUGCAAUGCAAUAUGUUGCUUAUGUUCUUUAUUGCAGUGGAAGCAAAAAAAAAAGAAAGAAAGAAAGAAAGAAAUACAGUAGACAAGCCAAAAUAAUUUGCAUAAAACACAAUGGAAAGUGGCUGAGAAGAGGACAAUUUAGAAAAAUGAUCUCUCCAGGAACGCUGCCAAGGCAAUGGGUCCAACUGAAUUAAUGGUAGACCUGAGUUUUCCCUGAAAUUGACCAACAGCAAACAGUGAAAUGCUGAGAAUUUAGAGGUAAGAAUAAUACUCUGAGAUAUUCUGCCUUUUCAAUUUAGGUUGUUUUUAACAUUUUCCUUUAUUUAAGAAAAUAGAAUGUUGCCUAAUAAUACAAUAAAACCAUAUCUAAAGUGCAGCAAAUAAUUAUAGAAAAU
This 418-nucleotide long non-coding RNA is filed under the name Papio anubis (olive baboon). Its description in RNAcentral is "lncRNA (ENSPANG00000048579.1)". Lineage: Eukaryota; Metazoa; Chordata; Mammalia; Primates; Cercopithecidae. The record is from RNAcentral.